Molecule: long non-coding RNA, 941 nt
Organism: Chinchilla lanigera (long-tailed chinchilla)
Lineage: Eukaryota; Metazoa; Chordata; Mammalia; Rodentia; Chinchillidae
Exons: 3
Source: RefSeq, a predicted model, not a curated record
GAACCGAACUCACGACCUUGCCCUUGCCAGGCAGGCGCUUUGCCGCUGAGCUAAAUCCCUAGCCCCGGGAAUGCAACUUCAAAUGGUGGUCACAGAUGAUCUAUGGAGAAGGCGACAAUUUGAACCAAGUCUAUGCUUUUUAUUUCCAUGCUAAAUUAAUCAGUAGCAUCUUCUUCAGAGGGGAAAGAGUGAGCCAGGAAUAAUGAACCGAAGACUACGGCUUGCUGCCUUUCAUGGAACCACACGCCUCCUCCAAUGAGAAAAGUAACUAAGACAGCCAUCAAAUAUGAGCCUGGGACAGAAAUCUCAUAAGGCCUGGGGGCCUGGACCUGGAGACUACUUACCUCACCGGGGCAUGAAGCCAUUGCAGGCAGUACUUUUGAAGAGGAAAGCAUAAGACUUCAACAAUGGAAAUUGGAUAAUCCAAGAACACUACUGGAGAGGAAGGAGAGAAAGAAGUGCUUUGAGCUACUCAUGGUCCAGUGAAACCCAGAAGCCAGGCCACACGAGCUAAACUCAACGGGUAGUAAGAAUCACCUGCCUGCCAUGUGCACUUCAGGCCUUUGCCAUCUCCAGCUGCCCAGCUUUAACAGCAAGCUACCAAGUGAGAGAAAUAGCAAGCAGUCUGGUUUCCUCACCACAGAGCUUACAGGAGCAGGGUGAUUACUAGACCACAACUAGCUAUGUUAUGGUCACUCUGUCAUCACCGAGACACAAUACCUGACACCCACAAUGUAAAGGAGAUUGGAAUUAAAAAAAUGACUCUCAUAAGGGUACAAGUAGAUUCCUUUCAGCAGUCCAUUAUUGGGAUGCGAUGAAACAGGAUGUCUUUAGUACAACACGGAUCAACUGAGUCCCCCCCAGCACUUCCAUAUAGCACACUUGAGUUAACAGCUUCAGGAAUAUUUUGAGAAGUAAUAAAACCUGGGAAGAAAUAUGCA